CGAACGCUGGCGGCGUGCUUAACACAUGCAAGUCGAACGGAAAGGCCCUGCUUGCAGGGUACUCGAGUGGCGAACGGGUGAGUAACACGUGGGUGAUCUGCCCUGCACUUCGGGAUAAGCCUGGGAAACUGGGUCUAAUACCGGAUAGGAGCCAUUUUUAGUGUGAUGGUUGGAAAGUUUUUUCGGUGUAGGAUGAGCUCGCGGCCUAUCAGCUUGUUGGUGGGGUAAUGGCCUACCAAGGCGGCGACGGGUAGCCGGCCUGAGAGGGUGGACGGCCACAUUGGGACUGAGAUACGGCCCAGACUCCUACGGGAGGCAGCAGUGGGGAAUAUUGCACAAUGGGCGCAAGCCUGAUGCAGCGACGCCGCGUGGGGGAUGACGGCCUUCGGGUUGGAAACUCCUUUCGCUAGGGACGAAGCUUUUUGUGACGGUACCUAGAUAAGAAGCACCGGCUAACUACGUG
This 463-nucleotide ribosomal RNA is filed under the name uncultured bacterium. RNAcentral's name for it is "partial 16S ribosomal RNA". It matches the Rfam family "Bacterial small subunit ribosomal RNA", at positions 30 to 507 of the family's 1533-position model. The record is from RNAcentral.